This 465-nucleotide ribosomal RNA is filed under the name uncultured Enterobacteriaceae bacterium. RNAcentral describes it as "bacterial SSU rRNA". It matches the Rfam family "Bacterial small subunit ribosomal RNA", at positions 338 to 795 of the family's 1533-position model. Lineage: Bacteria; Pseudomonadati; Pseudomonadota; Gammaproteobacteria; Enterobacterales; Enterobacteriaceae. The record is from RNAcentral.
CCUACGGGAGGCUGCAGUGGGGAAUAUUGCACAAUGGGCGCAAGCCUGAUGCAGCCAUGCCGCGUGUGUGAAGAAGGCCUUCGGGUUGUAAAGCACUUUCAGCGAGGAGGAAGGGUUCAGUGUUAAUAGCACUGUGCAUUGACGUUACUCGCAGAAGAAGCACCGGCUAACUCCGUGCCAGCAGCCGCGGUAAUACGGAGGGUGCAAGCGUUAAUCGGAAUUACUGGGCGUAAAGCGCACGCAGGCGGUUUGUUAAGUCAGAUGUGAAAUCCCCGCGCUUAACGUGGGAACUGCAUUUGAAACUGGCAAGCUAGAGUCUUGUAGAGGGGGGUAGAAUUCCAGGUGUAGCGGUGAAAUGCGUAGAGAUCUGGAGGAAUACCGGUGGCGAAGGCGGCCCCCUGGACAAAGACUGACGCUCAGGUGCGAAAGCGUGGGGAGCAAACAGGAUUAGAUACCCGUGUAGUC